UUGAACGCUGGCGGCAGGCCUAGCACAUGCAAGUCGAAUGGUAACAGGAAACAGCUUGCUGUUUCGCUGACGAGUGGCGGACGGGUGAGUAAUGUCUGGGAAACUGCCUGAUGGAGGGGGAUAACUACUGGAAACGGUAGCUAAUACCGCAUAACGUCGCAAGACCAAAGAGGGGGACCUUCGGGCCUCUUGCCAUCAGAUGUGCCCAGAUGGGAUUAGCUAGUAGGUGGGGUAACGGCUCACCUAGGCGACGAUCCCUAGCUGGUCUGAGAGGAUGACCAGCCACACUGGAACUGAGACACGGUCCAGACUCCUACGGGAGGCAGCAGUGGGGAAUAUUGCACAAUGGGCGCAAGCCUGAUGCAGCCAUGCCGCGUGUAUGAAGAAGGCCUUCGGGUUGUAAAGUACUUUCAGCGGGGAGGAAGGGAGUAAAGUUAAUACCUUUGCUCAUUGACGUUACCCGCAGAAGAAGCACCGGCUAACUCCGUG
This 489-nucleotide ribosomal RNA is filed under the name uncultured bacterium. RNAcentral describes it as "partial 16S ribosomal RNA". It matches the Rfam family "Bacterial small subunit ribosomal RNA", at positions 30 to 507 of the family's 1533-position model. The record is from RNAcentral.